This is an RNA transcript of Glycine soja, 1793 nucleotides long. It is a transcript of the gene named kinetochore protein SPC25 homolog, with no coding region annotated. The record is from RefSeq and is a predicted model, not a curated record. NCBI's taxonomy places the organism in Eukaryota, Viridiplantae, Streptophyta, Magnoliopsida, Fabales, Fabaceae. The transcript is spliced from 9 exons.
UGCACUCGAAAAUUCAGUUUUCUCCCGCUCCAACAAAAUCAAAUUAAUAAAGCGACUGCGACAUAAAUAAAUAAAUCAUGAAUCCUUCAAAGUUAAACCCCAAACCUUGCUGCUGCGUAAGUUGUUGAAAUCCCGGUAUCUGUCUUCGAUUCCAAGUAUCAAAAACCUUCGCAUUUUCUCUCUGCACUCUGCAGUGUCGAAGGCAAAGUGAAACGGAGAGAGUGCGAACGAACGAAGAUGGCGUCAAUCUGCGACACCUAUAUCCCUCUUCGACUACAGAACAUCGACGCUUUCACCGCUUCUUACAGAAACUCUCUCCAAUCACUGAGAACCACCGCACUCGAAACCGCGCGAUCUCAAUCCGAACUAACAGAGAUUCAAGCUAAACUCAGAGAGGCUGAGGAUGAUUUGGUAAAGGCACUUGCAGUUAAAACUCGGAGAGAGGCGAAGCGAAUGGCGUUGAAAGCCGCGAUUGAUUCUGUGAAGGGAAGAAUUGAAGAUCUGAAGACGAGUAUUCCGCAGCAGAGAACAAAAAACAAGGAAUGUGCUACCGUUGUAUCGCAGCACCGGCUUGUUUUGGCAGUGUCUGAACAGGAAUCAAAUGAAAGCAGUGAGCAUAGAGAUGAAGUCCAGGAGGCCAUAUCUUGGUACAAUAGGAUCCUUGGUUUUCAUGUUGAAGGUGGACGUGGGGUAAAAUUCACCUUCAAGAAUAUUAAUGUGGACAACCCAAAUGAGGAGUUCUUUUUUACCAUCCGCCUUGAAGAUGACAUUUAUACAUUGCUAAAUUGUAAACCAUCUGUCAAAGAUACUGACGAGGUGAUCCAUGAAUUAAACAAGACAAAUGGUCUAUUUAAAUUUGUCAGAACAAUGAGGAAAAAGUUUCAAGAAGCAGUGGCACAAGGCAGUCUAUCUAUGACAACAAAUGAACAUCAAGAAUCUGCCUUUAUGUCUGCAUCUGCUCCAGUUUUAUCAAUAUCAACCAUUACUGAAGGAAAUGAGAAUCAAGAUGAACCCAUCAAAGGCAAUGCACAUCUCCAGAAACAAGUCAAUCGAAGAAGGGUAAAAUCUCCUGGAUCUGCAUCAUCUGUUUGUCAAUCUCCUCGUUUGAAGGUGUCAACUCAAAUACUCAAGCUGUAUCAGAAAGUGAGUUUAGGUAACUCAAACGUUUAAAAUCGGCUUGUAAGAUGAGAAUUGUUCCCGACUUAUAUAAUUUAUCUCAGCACUAUCUUUAGUCAAUGUGGUACUUCAACAUGUCCUCUUUCACCCGUAGGUAUCUGCCAUAUGGGACUUUCAACACACCUCUAUCUAAGGGUGACCACAAUUUAGGUGGCUUUUUCCAACAUUUCCCCUCAUUCUCAAGGUCACCUGCCUAUAGCGUGACAAACACAAUGACCAAUCUAGGAUAGGCUCUGAUACACCAUAUCAUAAAGUGAAUUAUGAGUCUAACUCAAUCCUACAAAAUCGAUUUUUAAGGUCAGGAAAUGAAGCGGUGUGGGGGAUGCUCACCUGCUCGGUACCUCAUUUUGAUGAGACAUGCUGGUUCGUGUAGGGCAUUAAUUGCUAACAAAUUGACAUGUAAAUUAAGACAUACCCAGGUUCUGGAUGUCUGAACCUGUAUAUAAUAGACCAGAAGAUCCCUACGUUUUUCGUUUAUGGUCCAUUUGAUAUUUGUGUGUGUAUUUUAAUUUUUUUUUCCCAUUGUUGAUAUACUCGUAUUGUUCAAUAAAACAUCAGUCAUUCUAGUGAUGAUAGUUGUUUUGGCAUUGUAAAUAAAGUAUUGAUCCUUUUAUUUA